Molecule: long non-coding RNA, 461 nt
Filed under: Pongo abelii (Sumatran orangutan)
Lineage: Eukaryota; Metazoa; Chordata; Mammalia; Primates; Hominidae
Description: lncRNA (ENSPPYG00000040788.1)
Source: RNAcentral
GAAUGUACAAUAGAUGAGACUUUACUGGCAAAACAAUUGAAAAAAAAAAAAGGGAGAAGAAGCAGCCCAGCCUUGUCUCUUUAUAGGGUCCUAGAGAACCAGUGGUGACUGGGUUGAAAAGCACAGCGCUUAGCCAUUCAGCAGUUUAUGACCUCGGUUUACUAAGUCCUUGUAACAAGAUUACCGGAGGGGUUUUGCAAGCUUCUAGACCCAGGUGUGGCUGAAGGUCCAUGGGGUGAGAUGGCUGACUGAAAGAAGGAAGUUGUUCUCUGGGGUGUGUGUUACCCAAAGACCAAUGGAGGGAGGAAGAAUAGAUGCUCCAAAUGGCCACUGCACUUCUCCAAUGUCUGAAGCAUUUUCACCAUCUCUGUUUAUCAAUGGUCACAUCCUAGCUCUGGGCGCUCAUCUCUCAAUAAUAUGAUGAGAGGGAUGGAAAAGGAAAAUCUCUCUCAUUUUCCAAC